Molecule: ribosomal RNA, 164 nt
Filed under: Euphorbia leistneri
Lineage: Eukaryota; Viridiplantae; Streptophyta; Magnoliopsida; Malpighiales; Euphorbiaceae
Description: 5.8S ribosomal RNA
Rfam family: 5.8S ribosomal RNA
About the family: 5.8S ribosomal RNA (5.8S rRNA) is a component of the large subunit of the eukaryotic ribosome. It is transcribed by RNA polymerase I as part of the 45S precursor that also contains 18S and 28S rRNA.
Source: RNAcentral
UAAACGACUCUCGGCAACGGAUAUCUCGGCUCUCGCAUCGAUGAAGAACGCAGCGAAAUGCGAUGCUUGGUGUGAAUUGCAGGAUCCCGCGAACCAUCGAGUCUUUGAACGCAAGUUGCGCCCAAAGCCUUUUGGCCGAGGGCACGUCUGGCUGGGUGUCACUC